Molecule: ribosomal RNA, 706 nt
Filed under: uncultured Bacteroidota bacterium
Lineage: Bacteria; Pseudomonadati; Bacteroidota
Description: bacterial SSU rRNA
Rfam family: Bacterial small subunit ribosomal RNA
Source: RNAcentral
GGGAGGCAGCAGUAAGGAAUAUUGGUCAAUGGGCGCAAGCCUGAACCAGCCAUGCCGCGUGCAGGAAGACGGCCCUACGGGUUGUAAACUGCUUUUGUACCGGAAUAAACCACAGAUCGUGAUCUGUGCUGAAUGUACGGUAAGAAUAAGGAUCGGCUAACUCCGUGCCAGCAGCCGCGGUAAUACGGAGGAUCCAAGCGUUAUCCGGAUUUAUUGGGUUUAAAGGGUGCGUAGGCGGCCUGUUAAGUCAGGGGUGAAAGACGGUAGCUCAACUAUCGCAGUGCCCUUGAUACUGAUGGGCUUGAAUGUACUAGAGGUAGGCGGAAUGUGACAAGUAGCGGUGAAAUGCAUAGAUAUGUCACAGAACACCAAUUGCGAAGGCAGCUUACUAUGGUAUGAUUGACGCUGAGGCACGAAAGCGUGGGGAUCAAACAGGAUUAGAUACCCUGGUAGUCCACGCCCUAAACGAUGAAUACUCGAUGUUAGCGAUAUACAGUUAGCGUCAAAGCGAAAGCGUUAAGUAUUCCACCUGGGGAGUACGCCCGCAAGGGUGAAACUCAAAGGAAUUGACGGGGGCCCGCACAAGCGGAGGAGCAUGUGGUUUAAUUCGAUGAUACGCGAGGAACCUUACCCGGGCUUGAAAGUUAGUGAAUUGAGCAGAGACGCUCAAGUCCUUCGGGACACGAAACUAGGUGCUGCAUGGCUG